GACACUAUGGCCGAGUGGUUAAGGCGACAGAUUCGAAUUACGUAAUCCGAUUAUCUGUUUCCCUCUGGGAGCGCAGGUUCAAAUCCUGCUGGUGUCG
Trametes maxima is the source of this 97-nucleotide non-coding RNA. Lineage: Eukaryota; Fungi; Basidiomycota; Agaricomycetes; Polyporales; Polyporaceae. The record is from the annotation of a GenBank genome assembly.